GUGCUGCUUCAGGAGCACAUUUACUAAAAUUGGAUGAUACAGAGAUUAACAUGACCCAUGCACAAGGAUACACACAUAAUUGUAAAGCACUCCAUGUUUUU
Molecule: small nuclear RNA, 101 nt
Organism: Cervus hanglu yarkandensis (Yarkand deer)
Lineage: Eukaryota; Metazoa; Chordata; Mammalia; Artiodactyla; Cervidae
Source: Ensembl